AGUGAACGCUGGCGGUAGGCCUAACACAUGCAAGUCGAACGGCAGCACAGUAAGAGCUUGCUCUUACGGGUGGCGAGUGGCGGACGGGUGAGGAAUACAUCGGAAUCUACUUUUUCGUGGGGGAUAACGUAGGGAAACUUACGCUAAUACCGCAUACGACCUACGGGUGAAAGCAGGGGAUCUUCGGACCUUGCGCGAUUGAAUGAGCCGAUGUCGGAUUAGCUAGUUGGCGGGGUAAAGGCCAACCAAGGCGACGAUCCGUAGCUGGUCUGAGAGGAUGAUCAGCCACACUGGAACUGAGACACGGUCCAGACUCCUACGGGAGGCAGCAGUGGGGAAUAUUGGACAAUGGGCGCAAGCCUGAUCCAGCCAUACCGCGUGGGUGGAGAAGGCCUUCGGGUUGUAAAGCCCUUUUGUUGGGAAAGAAAAGCAGCAGGUUAAUACCCCGCUGUUCUGACGGUACCCAAAGAAUAAGCACCGGCUAACUUCGUG
Molecule: ribosomal RNA, 492 nt
Filed under: uncultured bacterium
Lineage: Bacteria
Description: partial 16S ribosomal RNA
Rfam family: Bacterial small subunit ribosomal RNA
Source: RNAcentral